AAAGAGAUGCUUACAAAUUGCUGUCAGUAUUUGAAACAGGAAAAACUCAGCUGGAAAUUUUUGAUUUUUUUUAAAAAAGAUCCUUGAUGGAUAGCUAGCAUUUUGGGAGGAUGCUUGGAGAAGCCGGAUGAUCUAAGUAAGGUUAUAAGCAGAGGCAGAUAAUCUUCCCAAUCAUCAUAUAAGACUUACAUCAUGGCUCUUUCUGUCCUCCUUAGCCCAACCAAAAAGAUGGACCAUCUGAAAGACUUAAUUAGAAGUACAAUGGUAGAAACAUUUAAGAAAGAAGUAGAGCCCAGCAUGAAUCUCAUGAUCUAUAAGUGUACCUGAAGUCAGAAGACAUCAAUGAAAAAAUCUACCUUUUAUUACUGAUAAUUCAGGAAUCUUGAUAAUUUGGGAAUUCUGCAUCUUUUAGCUACUCUUAUCUCUAAAAUUUGAUUUUUUUUCUCUGAAAUGUAUAACUGAAAUACUUGAAUUGACUUUUUUUAGCAUUUAUCAUAAUAUUUAGUCAUAAUGAAGAAAUUCUGCCCUAAGGAAACGGCAAUUUUGCAUCAAGUAGAUUUUAGCCAUGAAUUUCUGUACUAAAUGCAGUCCUCAAUAUUGAUCAAAAUAAUGAAAAAAGGAUGAAAUUAAUCCUGAAAUUAUCCUGUAAAACAUUUCUUGCCUUCAAGCUGAUGUUCACACCUUCCAUUCUUGGUAACUCUGGAGUCAGAGGAGAGCUUAACAGAACUAGUGAAUACCAUCCUCAGAAAGGAUCCCCACUAGACUGUCUGCAUUUGGGCACUUUCCAGGGAAGAACUGUGUCUAAACAGCACGAGUGCUAUGCAGCUCUGCCCCCCAUAACCGACUACCACAUGAUGGAUUCCCUCAAGUGCAUUAAUAUGUAUAUGUUUCAGAGAGGAGAUGUUCUUAUUGUAUUCUCUCUUACCCACAAAUUCAAAAUCUAAGAAUAUGUGACAAUAAUUAUUUUAAGUGAGUUUAUUUUUUCUAACCAAUUUAACAUAGUAACUUCAUGUAAAAUAACACUAUUAUCACCAAGUGAUAUAACUACUGAGUAUGAAAAAGAAAGCUAAAAUUACUAAAAUAUCUACCACUGUG
Molecule: long non-coding RNA, 1095 nt
Filed under: Vulpes vulpes (red fox)
Lineage: Eukaryota; Metazoa; Chordata; Mammalia; Carnivora; Canidae
Description: lncRNA (ENSVVUG00000020865.1)
Source: RNAcentral